Molecule: ribosomal RNA, 254 nt
Filed under: uncultured bacterium
Lineage: Bacteria
Description: partial 16S ribosomal RNA
Rfam family: Bacterial small subunit ribosomal RNA
Source: RNAcentral
UACGAAGGGUGCAAACGUUGCUCGGAAUUAUUGGGCGUAAAGCGCACGUAGGCGGCAUUGCAAGUCGGAUGUGAAAUCCCUCGGCUUAACCAAGGAAGUGCAUCCGAAACUGCAGUGCUUGAGUACUUAAGAGGAUCGCGGAAUUCCCGGUGUAGAGGUGAAAUUCGUAGAUAUCGGGAGGAACACCGGUGGCGAGGACGGCGAUCCUGGACCGGCAUUGACGCUGAGGCGCGAAAGCCAGGGGAGCAAACGGG